Molecule: long non-coding RNA, 1474 nt
Filed under: Dromaius novaehollandiae (emu)
Lineage: Eukaryota; Metazoa; Chordata; Aves; Casuariiformes; Dromaiidae
Description: lncRNA (ENSDNVG00000003920.1)
Source: RNAcentral
CAAUACCCUCCAAGCUUUCUUCUUCCACCACCUCCCCCCACCCAGUCACUUUACGUGGCCACCUUUAGGAAGGCAAAUAAUUGGGUGCCGCUCUCAUAUGUGCUCCUGCUCCUCUCUUCUUCUGAGUCUUCAGGCAUAGCAAAACUAAAUCUCUCUUUGGGCCCUUACGUUGCCCCUUUACUCCUGGCUGUUACGCUGGGGUGUAACUGCACAUCAGUGACUCUAGCCGCAGCUCAGUGCUCAGCAGGACGCUGGGGAUCCUCUCCAGGGGGGUGCCCUCCUUACAGCUGCCUGGGGCACAAGUACCUGGUAUUUGUGCCCCCAGAGGGGAGGCCAGAGGUUCCUGCAAAAAMUCCCCGGCUUGCUCCCUGGAAGCUUUUCUCACCAUGUCCCUGCCAGUGUGUCACUGUCCCUGCUGAGCUGUUACUGUGUCUCGGUUCUGUUUUUCCUCUCCUCUUUCUCUUGUUCCUGCCAAGUGUAUUCAAAGUCAGCAGGAUCUCUAGAGAGCUCUGUGGUGUCGAAGACCAGGCCCUGACCCUGAAGGUGCAAGACACCACAGUGGCUCUGGGGAUUGAGAUGACCAGUGUAUUUGAAGGGAAAGGCAGGUUCUGUCCAAAGCUGCUCCUGGUGGCAUUGCUUGGUGUGGGUAGAAUUGCAGGGAGAGCAGAGCAGAAACACGGCUGCCCUUUGAGGCAGUAGCCGCUGUUUCCUCUGCUGAGGAGUUCACAUGGGCAUUGGUGGGAUCAAGUUYAGGAAGCUUCCCCUUUCCUAGUGUCCUCUGUGUUACACUGAGCUUGGGCUAGUGGAGGGCACCUCCUGCCAGGAGAUCCUGCCUGCUGGAGGAGGAGGAGGAGGGUGGCAUCAGAAAUAACUGGGGAGCCCCGGGGUCUUGAGGCACUGAAAUGCUGCUACUGAGGUGGCUGAACGCUGAACUUGGCGCAAGGUAGGCACCUCGCCUGUCCGCUGGGAAGCAGAUGGGAAGCCCACRUGCCCCCGCUGAGGACAGGGCGUGCAGAAGAGGCCUGUACCAGAGAGCUGAGCAGUCAUCUCUGGCUGCAGAGAGGCUGCCAUGGCUCUUUGGUCCGGCCAGCACAGAGCCAAAGCUAACCCGCAGGACCUUCAGAGACMAAUCAGGUCCCCCAUGGUGCUGUGAGCAUGGGCGAGGGAGGAUUUCUCAGGGCUUGUGUGUGAGUGAGCAGACGUGGUGGGCCCCACGUCGGGAACGGUGUUGCCAUAUGGUUCUGUAUCCCUGCAAGACGGGCAGUUCCUGUCUGACUGAUACUAACUGUUAAAUAAGAAAUAUAUUUAAAUACGUAUAUAUAUAAAAACAGUCAUAUUAAAGCUGUUACGGCCAUGGAGGGAGCGUGUGAUUUGUGCCCGAGCUCUGCUCUGGCCCUCGCGUGCUGUAGGUGUCCGGUGGUGAGCCGCAGGAAGGGGAAGCCAUGGAGAAAUGCGCAGCCCCACGGCCAGCAGC